This 440-nucleotide ribosomal RNA is filed under the name uncultured bacterium. RNAcentral describes it as "bacterial SSU rRNA". It matches the Rfam family "Bacterial small subunit ribosomal RNA", at positions 338 to 793 of the family's 1533-position model. The record is from RNAcentral.
CCUACGGGUGGCAGCAGUUAGGAAUCUUGCGCAAUGGGCGAAAGCCUGACGCAGCAACGCCGCGUGGGGGACGAAGGCUCUCGGGUUGUAAACCCCUUUCAGUAGGGACGAAUCAAGACGGUACCUACAGAAGAAGCCCCGGCCAACUACGUGCCAGCAGCCGCGGUAACACGUAGGGGGCAAGCGUUGUCCGGAUUUAUUGGGCGUAAAGAGCUCGUAGGCGGUUCGGUAAGUCGGGUGUGAAACCUCCAGGCUCAACCUGGAGACGCCACCUGAUACUGCUGUGACUCGAGUCCGGUAGGGGAGCGUGGAAUUCCUGGUGUAGCGGUGAAAUGCGCAGAUAUCAGGAGGAACACCAGCGGCGAAGGCGGCGCUCUGGGCCGGAACUGACGCUGAGGAGCGAAAGCGUGGGUAGCAAACAGGAUUAGAUACCCCUGUAG